GACAGAGGAUGCAAGCGUUAUCCGGAAUGAUUGGGCGUAAAGCGUCUGUAGGUGGCUUUUUAAGUCUGCCGUCAAAUCCCAGGGCUUAACCCUGGACAGGCGGUGGAAACUACCAAGCUGGAGUACGGUAGAGGGAAGUGGAAUUUCCGGUGUAGCGGUGAAAUGCGUAGAUAUCGGAAGGAACAUCAGUGGCGAAAGCGACUUCCUGGACCAGUACCGACGUUCAGGCACGAAAGCGUGGGGAGCAAACAGG
Molecule: ribosomal RNA, 253 nt
Filed under: uncultured bacterium
Lineage: Bacteria
Description: partial 16S ribosomal RNA
Rfam family: Bacterial small subunit ribosomal RNA
Source: RNAcentral